RNAcentral lists this unclassified non-coding RNA (1145 nucleotides) under Dimorphilus gyrociliatus. RNAcentral describes it as "mARVEL domain-containing protein". Lineage: Eukaryota; Metazoa; Annelida; Polychaeta; Dinophilidae. The record is from RNAcentral.
CAAACGUCUGUGUGACAAAGAAAGAGAUAGAGGGAUAGACAGGGAAAGAGAGAGAUAGAAGGAUAGAUAGACAGAUAGAUAAAAAAAAGGACAAAAUUGUAGAUUCAUAGGCCAAAUAUAUGUUUUUUAGUUAUCUUUUUCCAUAUUGAAUCAAACGGCCAUAAGACCAUUGAAGAGUUUAGGCUAAAAGUUCUCAGCAUAUCCGGAAAUCCUCAAAUCUAAUACGGAUUUUUCUUCCAGAAUAUGCCUUCCCUAAGUGAUAUUGAAUUAAACAAAGAAUAUCUUCGGACUAAACCCGCAAUAUUGAAAUUAGCUGAAGUGUUUAUAUCACUUUGCUGUUUUAUUUCGGCAGUUGUUAAAUAUGCCUUAUGGAAUGAAUUUGGUACUGGAGCAUCAUUUGUAGCGUUUGCUUCAUUCCUUAGCUUCGUUGGUAGUGUUGCCCUGUUCCUAUUGAAUUUAUUUGGAGCUAUUGCAGUUAUACGUAGAAAAUUUGCCUUUUAUACUGUUCUAUGCGAACUUGGAUACUAUGUCGUUCUACUUAUAUUUGUGUUUGUGGCAGCCAUUUUAAGUUCCAAAAAUGCCAAACUGCAUUCAGCUAUUGGAGCGGCUACUUUCUUUUCGUGGGUUCUGUUUGUUCUAGUUGCGGCUCAAUUAGCAUUUCAAGCAAUCCUCUUUAAAGCUAUCUACGAAGAAAGAAAGAAAAAACCGACCGGUGACGGUGAGGCGAACAAUGAAAAUAGGGAAGACGCUAAAAAAUUAAAACCUUCUUCAAAUCAAACGUCUUCCGCCAAUACCCAAAUGUCAGCUGGUGAAAGUACAUCAGUGCCUUUGGAAGCGGUUCCUGAAAAACCGAAAGAAGAGAGGGUUAUACAAUAUAGCGUUGCGGACAAUUUGGAUGUAGGGGGAGACGGAAAUUGGGAAGUCUUAUAAGUCAAAGUUGUUUACAAUAAUCAAAAGUAAUAUUAGAUAUCUUUUUCUCUUCCAACCUCUUUGCCUUCCCAACGAAAAAAGAACUGAAAAAGAUUCCUUGAUUAUUUCCUCCCUCGAUAGCCAUUCUUCGCUCCCCCUCUAACUUUUCUGCAAGCAGGAGGAAGUCGACUAAUAUAUAUAUCUAUGUCUAUAUAUAUAUAUAUAUAUAUAUAUAU